AUUGAACGCUGGCGGCAUGCCUUACACAUGCAAGUCGAACGGUAACAGGUUAAGCUGCCGAGUGGCGAACGGGUGAGUAAUGUAUCGGAACGUGCCCAGUCGUGGGUGAUAACUGCUCGAAAGAGCAGCUAAUACCGCAUACGACCUGAGGGUGAAAGCGGGGGAUCGCAAGACCUCGCGCGAUUGGAGCGGCCGAUAUCAGAUUAGGUAGUUGGUGAGGUAAAGGCUCACCAAGCCGACGAUCUGUAGCUGGUCUGAGAGGACGACCAGCCACACUGGGACUGAGACACGGCCCAGACUCCUACGGGAGGCAGCAGUGGGGAAUUUUGGACAAUGGGCGCAAGCCUGAUCCAGCCAUGCCGCGUGCGGGAAGAAGGCCUUCGGGUUGUAAACCGCUUUUGUCAGGGAAGAAAAGGUUCUGGCUAAUACCUGGGACUCAUGACGGUACCUGAAGAAUAAGCACCGGCUAACUACGUG
Molecule: ribosomal RNA, 477 nt
Filed under: uncultured bacterium
Lineage: Bacteria
Description: partial 16S ribosomal RNA
Rfam family: Bacterial small subunit ribosomal RNA
Source: RNAcentral